Molecule: ribosomal RNA, 499 nt
Filed under: uncultured bacterium
Lineage: Bacteria
Description: partial 16S ribosomal RNA
Rfam family: Bacterial small subunit ribosomal RNA
Source: RNAcentral
ACUCAAAUGAAUAGACGGGGGCCCGCACAAGCGGUGGAGCAUGCGGUUUAAUUCGAUGCAACGCGAAGAACCUUACCUGCUCUUGACAUACUUGGAAUCCCCUGGUAACAGGGGAGUGCCUUCGGGAACCGAGAUACAGGUGCUGCAUGGCUGUCGUCAGCUCGUGUCGUGAGAUGUUGGGUUAAGUCCCGUAACGAGCGCAACCCUCGUCCUUAGUUGCCAGCACGUAAUGGUGGGAACUCUAAGGAGACCGCCGGUGAUAAACCGGAGGAAGGUGGGGAUGAUGUCAAGUCAUCAUGGCCCUUACGAGCAGGGCUACACGCGUGCUACAAUGGGCAGUACAAAGGGUUGCGAAGCCGCGAGGUGGAGCUAAUCCCAAAAAGCUGUUCGUAGUCCGGAUUGGAGUCUGCAACUCGACUCCAUGAAGUUGGAAUCGCUAGUAAUCGCGAAUCAGAACGUCGCGGUGAAUACGUUCUCGGGCCUUGUACACACCGCCCGU